This is a long non-coding RNA of Thunnus maccoyii (southern bluefin tuna), 687 nucleotides long. RefSeq lists it as uncharacterized. The record is from RefSeq and is a predicted model, not a curated record. The transcript has 2 exons. Lineage: Eukaryota; Metazoa; Chordata; Actinopteri; Scombriformes; Scombridae.
UGCAUGCUUUUUUAGAUGGUUUUUUAUUUUCUAAUAUUGUGUUUUAACUUGGACUGAGUGCAUUGAACUCUAAUUGAUCAAGUGAUGGACUAAGUGAGAACACCAGCGAGUUAUUGGAUGACACACCCCACUUCACUCAGGAUUGGCGGACUGGACUGAGUUCCUUCAUUUUUUUGGCCGAGUGUGAGAGGUGAAGGAGGUGGAGAAGGAAGGAAAGGCAGGAGAGACCUGUGGAGAGGGGUCGCUCCACAGAAAAUCGGUUGCAGUUGGUCGUGGGAACCUGAGGACGGAGACUACUCGUUGAAGCAUCGUGGAUACACCGGAGGAAAGGUGCAGCUGGGACGAGGAAGCAGACAGACCACAGCAGGACGAGCCAGGCGUCGAUGACAGAGACUUGGUUCAACGCGCACUAUUACGAUAACGGCUCCGUAUACAAGGUCCUGGAAGAAGCGGCGUGGCUGGAGCAGAGGAGCCGACAGCUGCAGGACUUCCUUUCUCCCUCGUGUCACAGAGAACUUGAGUACCCCCCUUCCCCUAUCUAUUCAUUGGCUCACACCAUUGGAACAGACAUUUUAAGGAUUUUUUUUAUUCCAUUUUAAAGAUUCUUGGUUAUCACAAGUUUCUUUUCAAAAUAACUCAUUCUUCACCCUGUUUUAACAACUUGUAAAUAAAAUUCCUGCAUUGUCA